This 253-nucleotide ribosomal RNA is filed under the name uncultured bacterium. RNAcentral's name for it is "partial 16S ribosomal RNA". It matches the Rfam family "Bacterial small subunit ribosomal RNA", at positions 524 to 776 of the family's 1533-position model. The record is from RNAcentral.
UACAGAGGGUGCGAGCGUUAAUCGGAAUUACUGGGCGUAAAGCGCGCGUAGGCGGCUUUGCAAGUCGGGUGUGAAAUCCCCAGGCUUAACCUGGGAACCGCAUUCGAGACUGCAUUGCUAGAGUAUGGGAGAGGGAAGUGGAAUUUCCGGUGUAGCGGUGAAAUGCGUAGAUAUCGGAAGGAACAUCAGUGGCGAAAGCGACUUCCUGGACCAAUACUGACGCUCAUGUGCGAAAGCGUGGGGAGCAAACAGG